GAAUCGCUAGUAAUCGUGGAUCAGCAUGCCGCGGUGAAUACGUUCCCGGGCCUUGUCACACCGCCCGUCACACCACGAGAGUUGGUAACACCCGAAGUCGGUGAGGUAACCUUUUGGAGCCAGCCGCCGAAGGUGGGACCAAUGAUUGGGGUGAAGUCGUAACAAGGUAGCCGUAUCGGAAGGUGCGGCUGGAUCACCUCCUU
RNAcentral lists this ribosomal RNA (203 nucleotides) under Halomonas sp. CA2-2I. RNAcentral describes it as "partial 16S ribosomal RNA". It matches the Rfam family "Bacterial small subunit ribosomal RNA", at positions 1329 to 1532 of the family's 1533-position model. The record is from RNAcentral. Lineage: Bacteria; Pseudomonadati; Pseudomonadota; Gammaproteobacteria; Oceanospirillales; Halomonadaceae.